UCCGGCUUAUCACCAGCGGUUCCUUUAGAGUACCCAACUAAAUGAUGGUAACACAGGACGAGGGUUGCGCUCGUUGAAGGACUUAACCUAACACCUCACGGCACGAGCCGACGACAGCCAUGCAACAAGUGUCUUCACGUCUCCUUGUGAGAGAGGGCCCUAUUUCUAGGGCUUACGAUCGAUGUCAAGUCUGGGUAAGGUUCUUCGGUUAGUAUCGAAUUAAUCCACAUGCUCCACCGCUUGUGCGGGUCCCCGUCAAUUCAUUUGAGUUUCAACCUUGCGGCCGUACUCCCCAGGCGGGAUACUUAAUGCGUUAGCUGCGGCACAAGAGGGGUCGAUACCUCUUACGCCUAGUAUCCAUCGUUUAGGGCGUGGACUA
RNAcentral lists this unclassified non-coding RNA (379 nucleotides) under uncultured Armatimonadota bacterium. RNAcentral's name for it is "uncultured Armatimonadetes bacterium contains 16S-23S intergenic spacer region". Lineage: Bacteria; Bacillati; Armatimonadota. The record is from RNAcentral.